UGCGGGAUGGUGUAACAGAUAACACGCCUGACUUUGAAUCAGGAGAUUGAAGGUUUGACCCCUUCUCCCGCAGCCA
This 76-nucleotide transfer RNA is filed under the name Acidobacteriota bacterium. Its description in RNAcentral is "tRNA-Gln". It matches the Rfam family "tRNA". Rfam says of the family: Transfer RNA (tRNA) molecules are approximately 80 nucleotides in length. Their secondary structure includes four short double-helical elements and three loops (D, anti-codon, and T loops). Lineage: Bacteria; Pseudomonadati; Acidobacteriota. The record is from RNAcentral.